RNAcentral lists this ribosomal RNA (476 nucleotides) under Blarinella quadraticauda (Asiatic short-tailed shrew). Its description in RNAcentral is "partial 16S ribosomal RNA". It matches the Rfam family "Bacterial large subunit ribosomal RNA", at positions 1856 to 2556 of the family's 2925-position model. Lineage: Eukaryota; Metazoa; Chordata; Mammalia; Eulipotyphla; Soricidae. The record is from RNAcentral.
UGCCUGCCCAGUGACAAUUGUUUAACGGCCGCGGUAUCCUGACCGUGCAAAGGUAGCAUAAUCAUUUGUUCCUUAAAUAGGGACUUGCAUGAAUGGCCACACGAGGGUUUAACUGUCUCUUACUUCCCAUCAGUGAAAUUGACCUUUCCGUGAAGAGGCGGAAAUAAACAAAUUAGACGAGAAGACCCUAUGGAGCUUUAAUUUAUCUAUACCAACAGAAUAAUUUUACAUCCAUCAAGGACUAAUAAUCAUUCUAACUGGUUAGAAAAUUUCGGUUGGGGUGACCUCGGAGUAUAAAUUAACCCCCGAGAAGAAUUACUAAGACUGACAAGUCAAAGUUUUAAACAUUAAUUGAUCCAGUCUAACUGAUCAACGAAACAAGUUACCCUAGGGAUAACAGCGCAAUCCUAUUCUAGAGUCCUUAUCGACAAUAGGGUUUACGACCUCGAUGUUGGAUCAGGACAUCCUAAUGGUGC